UACGAAGGGGGCUAGCGUUGCUCGGAAUCACCGGGCGUAAAGGGUGCGUAGGCGGGUCUUUAAGUCAGGGGGGAAAUCCUGGAGCUCAACUCCAGAACUGCCUUUGAUACUGAGGAUCUUGAGUUCGGGAGAGGUGAGUGGAACUGCGAGUGUAGAGGUGAAAUUCGUAGAUAUUCGCAAGAACACCAGUGGCGAAGGCGGCUCACUGGCCCGAUACUGACGCUGAGGCACGAAAGCGUGGGGAGCAAACAGG
RNAcentral lists this ribosomal RNA (253 nucleotides) under uncultured bacterium. RNAcentral describes it as "partial 16S ribosomal RNA". It matches the Rfam family "Bacterial small subunit ribosomal RNA", at positions 524 to 776 of the family's 1533-position model. The record is from RNAcentral.